CAUGAAGCUGGAAUCGCUAGUAAUCGCAGAUCAGAAUGCUGCGGUGAAUACGUUCCCGGGUCUUGUACACACCGCCCGUCACACCAUGGGAGUUGGAAAUGCCCGAAGUCGGUGACCUAACCGAAAGGGAGGAGCCGCCGAAGGCAGGUCUGAUAACUGGGGUGAAGUCGUAACAAGGUAAC
This 182-nucleotide ribosomal RNA is filed under the name uncultured bacterium. RNAcentral's name for it is "partial 16S ribosomal RNA". It matches the Rfam family "Bacterial small subunit ribosomal RNA", at positions 1319 to 1500 of the family's 1533-position model. The record is from RNAcentral.